CAGUAGCCGCGGGAAUACGAAGGGGGCUAGCGUUGUUCGGAAUUACUGGGCGUAAAGCGCACGUAGGCGGAUAUUUAAGUCAGGGGUGAAAUCCCGCAGCUCAACUGCGGAACUGCCUUUGAUACUGGGUAUCUUGGGUAUGGAAGAGGUUAGUGGAAUUGCGAGUGUAGAGGUGAAAUUCGUAGAUAUUCGGAAGAACACCAGUGGCGAAGGCGGCUUACUGGCUCAUUCUAGACGCUGAGGUGCGAAAGCGUGGGGAGCAAACAGGAUUAGAUACCCGAGUAGUCCCUGUCUCUUAUAC
This 301-nucleotide ribosomal RNA is filed under the name uncultured bacterium. Its description in RNAcentral is "partial 16S ribosomal RNA". It matches the Rfam family "Bacterial small subunit ribosomal RNA", at positions 509 to 807 of the family's 1533-position model. The record is from RNAcentral.